This 109-nucleotide ribosomal RNA is filed under the name Pteropus alecto (black flying fox). Lineage: Eukaryota; Metazoa; Chordata; Mammalia; Chiroptera; Pteropodidae. The record is from RNAcentral. RNAcentral also lists the same sequence under 1 other name.
GUCUAUGGUCAAGGCACCCUGAAUGUGCCUGAUCUUGGAAGCUAAGCAGGGUCAGGCCUGGUUAGUACUUGGAUGGGAGACCACCUAGGAAGACCAGGUGCUGUAGGCA